This 468-nucleotide ribosomal RNA is filed under the name uncultured bacterium. RNAcentral describes it as "partial 16S ribosomal RNA". It matches the Rfam family "Bacterial small subunit ribosomal RNA", at positions 28 to 507 of the family's 1533-position model. The record is from RNAcentral.
GACGAACGCUGGCGGCGUGCUUAACACAUGCAAGUCGAACGGAAAGGCCCUGCUUUUGUGGGGUGCUCGAGUGGCGAACGGGUGAGUAACACGUGAGUAACCUGCCCUUGACUUUGGGAUAACUUCAGGAAACUGGGGCUAAUACCGGAUAGGAGCUCCUGCUGCAUGGUGGGGGUUGGAAAGUUUCGGCGGUCGGGGAUGGACUCGCGGCUUAUCAGCUUGUUGGUGGGGUAGUGGCUUACCAAGGCUUUGACGGGUAGCCGGCCUGAGAGGGUGACCGGCCACAUUGGGACUGAGAUACGGCCCAGACUCCUACGGGAGGCAGCAGUGGGGAAUAUUGCACAAUGUGCGGAAGCCUGAUGCAGCAACGCCGCGUGCGGGAUGACGGCCUUCGGGUUGUAAACCGCUUUCGCCUGUGACGAAGCGUGAGUGACGGUAAUGGGUAAAGAAGCACCGGCUAACUACGUG